AUGUAUGUAUGUGCAGAAAAAGAGAUGGGAACUAGAUGGUGUAUGUAUAUAAUGAUUGUGGAGCAUGCCGGGAAGAAGAACAUCUUUGGAUGUAUGGCCAUGGAUUUGAAGGAUAAAGGAGCAUUGUUUGUCUUUCUUGCUCAGCUUGGAAUACGGCGUGGUACGUAUUUGUCUGAUUGGCAGGGUUGGGACGCUGCCUGCAUGAUUGGCGUUCUUGAAGCUCUCUCGCCGUGGGAUGGGGGUUUGGGGUAUCCUAAGCUUAAAGCUGACCCAGAGAGGACAUCAUGUUGUUUGCUUAACGGGCAAGUACUCCACAUUCAGUCGCAAAAAGUCAAGAAGCAUUGUUUUCUUCUACUCACAACUGUUGGAAUCCACAUGAAAGAUGAGGAGGAAACUAAGAAAGAUGUAUAUAGAAUAAUGGGAAUAUGA
This 429-nucleotide ribosomal RNA is filed under the name Triticum aestivum (bread wheat). Its description in RNAcentral is "partial small subunit ribosomal RNA". The record is from RNAcentral. Lineage: Eukaryota; Viridiplantae; Streptophyta; Magnoliopsida; Poales; Poaceae.